RNAcentral lists this ribosomal RNA (255 nucleotides) under uncultured bacterium. Its description in RNAcentral is "partial 16S ribosomal RNA". It matches the Rfam family "Bacterial small subunit ribosomal RNA", at positions 524 to 776 of the family's 1533-position model. The record is from RNAcentral.
UACAGAGGUCCCAAGCGUUGUUCGGAUUUACUGGGCGUAAAGGGCGCGUAGGCGGCCACCGCAAGUCAGUUGUGAAAUCUCUGGGCUUAACCCAGAACGGUCAGCUGAUACUGCGGGGCUAGAGUGCAGAAGGGGCAACUGGAAUUCUCGGUGUAGCGGUGAAAUGCGUAGAUAUCGAGAGGAACACCUGCGGCGAAGGCGGGUUGCUGGGCUGACACUGACGCUGACAGCGCGAAAGCUAGGGGAGCGAACGGG